AAAUCUUACCACCAUACAAAAAUGACCUUUAUAAAAACACAUUUUGGCGGAAUAAUUAUAUACGAGAUGUUAAAAAAUCACACCAGUGUUGGUUUAUUCACUGCGUAUGGUGCCAUUUUCUGUACAGAACGCUAAAUAUUAUGAUUAGUUUUUAUUAUUUUGUAAAUCUAAGACAUACGCAAUUUCCCUUACCCUUCGUUUGAGGAAAGCUCGUUUCUGACGCCUCUACGUCGCGGUCGCUUUUGUCUUUUGAAUGAGCUUGCCGUAAACACCGCCCACCUUGUAUACCACCAUACGCAAAACCAUGCAUUACGUAGCCCCUGAAUACUGUUGUAUUACAGUAACGGGGAUGUAGCAUGUUGUACAUCAUGUAUUGUGACAAUUUGGCGUAUUUAUAAAACAGACUAAGCAUAUUUUUGUGUAGACUUUAAGGGGACAUGGGUCCCCCAUUGCCCCGUCAGCCUAAACGACAGAAAUGGCAUUAUAGCCUCGUGAAAUCACAAGAAUAGAGCAUUAUUUUUUCGCGAAGUUGCACUCUGUCCUGUUGCAGAUAUGAGGAUCACAGACAGUGUAAUACGGAGCUUCCGAGUGGCCAGAACAUAUAAAGAAAACUCAGAGAAAAUCAACUGUGUGGAUUACAGUCCGAACGGAGAAAGCGCCAUAUCCAGCAGCGACGACGACUGCAUCGUUUUAUAUGACAUUCAAGAAGGAAAACCAAAACGUACUCUAUUCAGCAAGAAGUAUGGCGUGGACCUCAUCCGCUACACUCACGGGGACGCGCAGUGUGUUGUUUACACCUCCAACAAAAUCAACGAUACCAUACGGUACCUGUCCUUAAGUGACAACAAAUUCAUCCGAUAUUUCCCAGGACACACUGCGAGGGUCAUGUCUCUAAUGUCAUUACCGGUAGACGACACUUUUAUCUCCGGCUCACUGGACAGGACGAUCCGAAUCUGGGACCUCCGUUCUCCUAACUGUCAGGGUUUGACGAAUCCACUGGGGAACCCCGUCUGCUCCUUUGACCCUGACGGACUGAUAUUUGCUGCAGGGGUGGAAUCACAGACCAUUAAACUCUACGACCUACGUGCUUUUGACAAGGGUCCGUUUGCCUCUUUUGAGACGAGGUUCAAUCGCAGCUGUGACUGGACCGGACUGAAGUUCAGUUAUGAUGGGAAACAGAUCCUCGUCUCUACAAACGGUGGGAUGAUACGAGUCCUCGAUGCCAUCAGUGGAUCUGUGCUGCACACCUUCUCCGGCUACAACAACAGCAGAGGAAACUCCCUGGAAGCCUGCUUCACCCCUGACUCCAUGUUCGUGAUGAUUGGCUCGGAGGACGGGAGGGUCCACGUGUGGAGCACCGACAGUGGGAUGAAGGUGGCCGUGUUGGAUGGGAAACAAGGACCCAUCAACACACUGCAGUUCAAUCCCAGAUUCAUGACGUUUGCCAGCGCCUGCAGCACCAUGACCUUUUGGCUUCCUUGUGUCGAAGACUCGUAGAGGAAGUGACUUUUUUUCAAACGACGCCACCAUGCUGUGGUUCAGGGUCGUCUUUAAUGCACAGAACUACAUUUUAGGAUUUUUUUUAGAAUGUUUUAAGAAUUUAAAACACUAUGUCAAAUAUUUUAAAAAGCAGUAUUUUUAACUGGACUAAAAGUCUAUGUAAAUAGGUUUUAAUCGUCUUUUACUGUAUUGUGUGUUUUUUAACUGGUCACCUUCAUUUCUUUGUACUUUUUACUCAUUUUAAUUGGACUUUUUUUUACAAUAAUAUUUUAUAUGUUUAUAUUAUUUAUAUAUAUUAUUACUAUUUUUAACACCAACUCCAGUCUACUUAAACAUUACUUGUCUGACUACCAAAUCCACUAACUAAUACAGAAAUAAGAAAUACAUGCACUUCCACAGGAGACUUGAAUGAUGACAUCACUGUGAUGUCAUUAGUGAUGAACCAAACUUCAAAUAAAAAACUUUUUUUUUUAUUUUUAAUUUAGAAAAAAUUGUUGUUAUUAUUAUUAUUAUUAUUAUUACACAGCUUGGUGAUGAAGCAGAUGUAGAUGUAAUCAGAAGUGAGUAAACAAAGCCGUGGACGUGCUGGUGUGUGAUGAGAGACGGACCGAUUUAAUCCGUUUGGUGAGCGGAUGUUUUUCCUUUUUUUGUAAACACAAAGUUUGUCUUCCUGAGGCAGAAGAGGGGGAGGGGGCUCUGCUGAAUAAUGUAUAGUUGCUUGGGUUGUGUACUCACCAGUGAGUGAAUAAUGAAUGAUCCCAUCACAGUUAACCUCACAGGUACACACUUAUCUCUCUCUCUCUCUGAACAACCUCCGUGUCUGUGUGUGUCACUGAGGGAGGACGAGAGAAGAGGAAGAUUUUAAAACAUUUGUCUUUGACUCCUCGGAUGAACAGGAGCGACAUUUACAGUGCAGUGUGAAUUUUAAGAGCCUGAGGAAAAUGUCGUGAAGUAAAAAUACUGGUCUCAUUCAUCAGUAUUUCUUCCCUGUACUCGUCAACAUCAAGGAAACCAGAAUGCAGCCCCAAACCUACCAGUAACCAGCACCGUGUUUCUCUGUUCUUGACUUUCUGUCUUUGUAGAAGGUUUGGCUUCUCAGCUGCAGUUCCUCCAUGAUGAUUGGUCAGGAUCUCUGGACACUUAUUGGUCAGACAAGUUGAUAUAGAAUAUAAAAAGAAUGAGCACUGAAACAGUCACUCAUUUUCUCAUGUUUUAAGUUAAGUUUAAAGCUGAGUAUUAAUGUAAAAAUCCCUCAGUGCAAAGACUGUUCUUUUUUGUUUUUUAAAUGUGAUUCAAUCAGUACAUAUACUGCUGCCACCUCUGAAAAAUUCCUACUCCCGUCUCAGACCUUAAAUGCAUCCCUAAAUCUCCCAGUGUGAAGGAAUCAAACCUUUAAUUUUUUUUAUCUACUAACUGCCCCUACAAACACGUCAUUAACUGUUAAUGGAACCUUUUUCAUCCACAGAACUCUUCAAGGACGAACCACCUCAGCCUUCGUUAUGACAUCAUAUCAAUCAGUCUGAUUGGAGUCACGUUACUGUGAGGUGACGGCUUCUUAAAAACUACUGUACUAAAACCAUGAGCAGUGACCAUGACCCCCCCCCACAGCCCUCUCACCCCCCACACACCGAGACAUUUUAAAGCUGUGGUCAUCGAUACGCAAAGAGUUUUAGAUCAGCGGUCAGGGUGGCAUAUCCAUUGUCAGGCACAUUAUUACUCAUCAGCCACAGUUCCGCAGAUUGUGUUUCAAGUGUUAGGAAUCUCCCAAGUCACCCUGAAGGCGUUUAUGUCACAGGUGUGUGUGGGUCCAUCUGUCUGCCGCCAGUGGAGAGGCAGCCGACCUGCCGAGCGACAGACACGGACCUGGAGCUGAGGAGCACUGACAGCCGACUGCCAAA
RNA transcript from Cynoglossus semilaevis (tongue sole), 3398 nucleotides. It is a transcript of the gene named twinfilin-2-like, with no coding region annotated. Lineage: Eukaryota; Metazoa; Chordata; Actinopteri; Pleuronectiformes; Cynoglossidae. The record is from RefSeq and is a predicted model, not a curated record. The transcript is spliced from 10 exons.